ACUUUCCUUUGUCUUCAGUUGUCCUGAAGAAAAAGGAAUUCUUCAUUUCAGGGAAGUUUAAACACCUAAAAGCAGAAAGCCCUAAUAUACUCCUGUCCUAAUAUAAAUCCUGCUGUCAUCUUUAACUGCUGACUUCACCCCUCCCCAACCCCUCUGCUUGCUGUCCUAGCAAACUCAAGUAUGUCUAAUAAAGGGGCUUUUUAUUUUAUUUUUUCCUUUUUGAGACUGUCUCAGUGUAGCCCUGGCUGAUCUAAAACUUCCUCUGUAGACCAGGCUAGUCUUGAACUCACAGAGCUUCCACCUGCCUCUGCCUCCCAAGUGCUGAGAUUAACAGUGUGUCCCACCAGGCCUGGCUACUGGAAGGGCUUUUUAAGGAAAGGCUCACCAUGAUGUGAUUCUUUGACCCAAGUUACUCAUCUGCUGGCCAGCUGAGUCCCUUCCUAGUCCUCGGUUCCCUUUCUCCUACUUUUCUUUGCAUGGUGUCGUGUCGCCCUGGAGAUCUUCCUGUAACCUUACACUCAGGGCCUGUCUCCUCGACUCUCUGCUGAAAGUGAUCCUUCUUAAAGAUGGGCCAGGUUGUUUGGCAGUCAUGUCCCCUGGAGUAGGACAUUUAAUCUGCCCGUGGCGGCUUGCCACGGUUGUGGCCUCUUCCCUUAUUUGGCUUCGUUUCUGGAUCCCUGUCCACUCCGGCCAGGUCAGGCCUCCUGGGGUGCACCUCGCUUGCUCGCUCUCUCGCCCGCUGUAACUUUGUGCAGAGCACACAGCAUCCAUACUAGUCAAAGGGAGCAUGAAUGAUGGCCGUUGCCUGCUGGGAGCUUCAAGAGGGAAUAAAUGAGGCCAGUCUGCCCUGCUGUGUCCCAGUACCACCCAGACCACCCACCACGGGGCCCAGCACUCAGUGCUCAGGAGCCAUGUCCAGAAUGAGUGAUGUUAGGAUGGUGGGUGGGUGGCUGGGUGGGAUGGAUGGAUGGAUGCUUGUCAAGCUCAGAAGUUAGCCACUUACCAUGAAAGCAAUAGGCAGCCACAGAAGUGUGUGCAGCAGAACCGGCCCAUUUCCUCAGCCUUGAAUGUGCAUUUGAAUUCUCUGGGACAUGGGAAGGGCCCAAGAUACCACACUUCUAAGGGGCCCAAGAUGUGAUGGCCUGAGACAGCAAGGGCCUUGAUGUGCUGUUCAGUCAGUAGUGACCAGGACCAGUGUCUUAGAGCACUUGAGAAUGUGGCUCGUGUGAAUUGAGAUAUAUUUUAAGUGUAAAACGCCCACCUGAUUUGAAAGAUGUGGUACAAAAAAUAAUUUUUAUAUUGCUCACAUGUUGAUAUGGUAAUAUUUUGGAUAUCUUGGGUUAAAUAAAAUAUAUUAUUAAAAUU
This 1365-nucleotide long non-coding RNA is filed under the name Mus musculus (house mouse). RNAcentral describes it as "long non-coding RNA chr7:28196104-28197469". The record is from RNAcentral. Lineage: Eukaryota; Metazoa; Chordata; Mammalia; Rodentia; Muridae.